AAGUCGUAACAAGGUUUCCGUAGGUGAACCUGCGGAAGGAUCAUUAUCUAUUCCAUGAGGUGUGGUCGCGGCCCCCGGGGGGGCUAAACUCCCCCAGGGCGGUAGAGGUAACACUUUCACGCGCCACAUGUCUGAAUCCUUUUUUUACGAGCACCUUUCGUUCUCCUUCGGUGGGGCAACCUGCCGCUGGAACUUAACAAUAACCUUUUUUGCAUCUAGCAUUACCUGUUCUGAUACAAACAAUCGUUACAACUUUCAACAAUGGAUCUCUUGGCUCUG
RNAcentral lists this unclassified non-coding RNA (279 nucleotides) under air metagenome. RNAcentral describes it as "partial contains small subunit ribosomal RNA, internal transcribed spacer 1, and 5.8S ribosomal RNA". The stretch from base 1 to 46 matches the Rfam family "Eukaryotic small subunit ribosomal RNA", at positions 1786 to 1831 of the family's 1831-position model. The record is from RNAcentral.